RNAcentral lists this small nuclear RNA (19 nucleotides) under Arabidopsis thaliana (thale cress). RNAcentral describes it as "snRNA_12306". The record is from RNAcentral. Lineage: Eukaryota; Viridiplantae; Streptophyta; Magnoliopsida; Brassicales; Brassicaceae.
AUUCCUUGUAAAUAAGUUC